AGUGAACGCUGGCGGUAGGCCUAACACAUGCAAGUCGAACGGCAGCACAGUAAGAGCUUGCUCUUACGGGUGGCGAGUGGCGGACGGGUGAGGAAUACAUCGGAAUCUACUUUUUCGUGGGGGAUAACGUAGGGAAACUUACGCUAAUACCGCAUACGACCUACGGGUGAAAGCAGGGGAUCUUCGGACCUUGCGCGAUUGAAUGAGCCGAUGUCGGAUUAGCUAGUUGGCGGGGUAAAGGCCCACCAAGGCGACGAUCCGUAGCUGGUCUGAGAGGAUGAUCAGCCACACUGGAACUGGGACACGGUCCAGACUCUUACGGGAGGCAGCAGUGGGGAAUAUUGGACAAUGGGCGCAAGCCUGAUCCAGCCAUACCGCGUGGGUGAAGAAGGCCUUCGGGUUGUAAAGCCCUUUUGUUGGGAAAGAAAAGCAGCAGGUUAAUACCCCGCUGUUCUGACGGUACCCAAAGAAUAAGCACCGGCUAACUUCGUG
RNAcentral lists this ribosomal RNA (492 nucleotides) under uncultured bacterium. RNAcentral's name for it is "partial 16S ribosomal RNA". It matches the Rfam family "Bacterial small subunit ribosomal RNA", at positions 29 to 507 of the family's 1533-position model. The record is from RNAcentral.